RNAcentral lists this transfer RNA (72 nucleotides) under Gemmatimonadota bacterium. Its description in RNAcentral is "tRNA-Glu". It matches the Rfam family "tRNA". From Rfam's summary of the family: Transfer RNA (tRNA) molecules are approximately 80 nucleotides in length. Their secondary structure includes four short double-helical elements and three loops (D, anti-codon, and T loops). The record is from RNAcentral. Lineage: Bacteria; Pseudomonadati; Gemmatimonadota.
GCCGCGUUCGUCUAUCGGCUAGGACGCUAGACUUUCACUCUGGUAAGACGGGUUCGAUUCCCGUACGCGGUA